RNAcentral lists this ribosomal RNA (367 nucleotides) under uncultured archaeon. RNAcentral's name for it is "bacterial SSU rRNA". It matches the Rfam family "Archaeal small subunit ribosomal RNA", at positions 451 to 818 of the family's 1478-position model. The record is from RNAcentral.
UCUGGUGUCAGCCGCCGCGGUAAUACCAGCUCUCCGAGUGGUAGGGAUGAUUAUUGGGCUUAAAGCGUCCGUAGCCGGCUUAGCAAGUCUCCUGUNAAAUUCAGCGACCUAAUCGUUGAGCCGCGGGAGAUACUACUAGGCUAGGAGGCGGGAGAGGCCGACGGUAUUCUCGGGGUAGGGGUGAAAUCCUAUAAUCCCGGGAGGACCACCAGUGGCGAAGGCUGUCGGCUAGAACGCGCUCGACGGUGAGGGACGAAAGCUGGGGGAGCGAACCGGAUUAGAUACCCGGGUAGUCCCAGCUGUAAACGAUGCGGGCUAGGUGUUGGGGUGGCUACGAGCCACUUCAGUGCCGCAGGGAAGCCAUUAA